RNAcentral lists this ribosomal RNA (885 nucleotides) under uncultured bacterium. Its description in RNAcentral is "bacterial SSU rRNA". It matches the Rfam family "Bacterial small subunit ribosomal RNA", at positions 8 to 916 of the family's 1533-position model. The record is from RNAcentral.
AGAGUUUGAUCCUGGCUCAGGAUGAACGCUAGCGGCGCGCCUUAUGCAUGCAAGUCGAACGGUCUCUCGCAAGAGAGAUAGUGGCAAACGGGUGAGUAAUAGAUAAAUAACCUGCCUUUAAGUGGGGGAUAACACUUCGAAAGAAGUGCUAAUACCGCAUGUGAUGCUCUUUCAUAAGAAGGAUCAUUAAAACCGCAAGGUGCUUGAAGAGGGGUUUGUCUCCGAUUAGCUUGUUGGUGGGGUAACGGCCUACCAAGGCAAUGAUCGGUAGCUGGUCUGAGAGGAUGGUCAGCCACACUGGAACUGAGACACGGUCCAGACUCCUACGGGAGGCAGCAGCAAGGAAUCUUGGGCAAUGGGCGAAAGCCUGACCCAGCGACGCCGCGUGAGGGAUGAAGGCCUUCGGGUUGUAAACCUCUUUUCUCAGGGAAGAAUAAUGACGGUACCUGAGGAAUAAGUCUCGGCUAACUACGUGCCAGCAGCCGCGGUAAUACGUAGGAGGCGAGCGUUAUCCGGAUUUAUUGGGCGUAAAGUGGGCGUAGGUGGUCUUUCAAGUCAGAUGUGAAAUCUCCCGGCUCAACUGGGAGGGGUCAUCUGAUACUGUUGGACUUGAGUAUGGCAGGAGAAAACGGAAUUCCCGGUGUAGUGGUGAAAUGCGUAGAUAUCGGGAGGAACACCAGAGGCGAAGGCGGUUUUCUAGGCCAAAACUGACACUGAGGCCCGAAAGCGUGGGGAGCGAACAGGAUUAGAUACCCUGGUAGUCCACGCCCUAAACACUGGGUACUAGGUAUAGGGAGUAUCGACCCUUUCUGUGCCGAAGCUAACGCUUUAAGUACCCCGCCUGGGGAGUACGGUCGCAAGACUAAAACUUAAAGGAAUUGACGG